This 979-nucleotide ribosomal RNA is filed under the name Bacillus licheniformis. RNAcentral's name for it is "bacterial SSU rRNA". It matches the Rfam family "Bacterial small subunit ribosomal RNA", at positions 43 to 1003 of the family's 1533-position model. The record is from RNAcentral. Lineage: Bacteria; Bacillati; Bacillota; Bacilli; Caryophanales; Bacillaceae.
AAAAGGUGCUAUAAUGCAAGUCGAGCGGACCGACGGGAGCUUGCUCCCUUAGGUCAGCGGCGGACGGGUGAGUAACACGUGGGUAACCUGCCUGUAAGACUGGGAUAACUCCGGGAAACCGGGGCUAAUACCGGAUGCUUGAUUGAACCGCAUGGUUCAAUCAUAAAAGGUGGCUUUUAGCUACCACUUACAGAUGGACCCGCGGCGCAUUAGCUAGUUGGUGAGGUAACGGCUCACCAAGGCGACGAUGCGUAGCCGACCUGAGAGGGUGAUCGGCCACACUGGGACUGAGACACGGCCCAGACUCCUACGGGAGGCAGCAGUAGGGAAUCUUCCGCAAUGGACGAAAGUCUGACGGAGCAACGCCGCGUGAGUGAUGAAGGUUUUCGGAUCGUAAAACUCUGUUGUUAGGGAAGAACAAGUACCGUUCGAAUAGGGCGGUACCUUGACGGUACCUAACCAGAAAGCCACGGCUAACUACGUGCCAGCAGCCGCGGUAAUACGUAGGUGGCAAGCGUUGUCCGGAAUUAUUGGGCGUAAAGCGCGCGCAGGCGGUUUCUUAAGUCUGAUGUGAAAGCCCCCGGCUCAACCGGGGAGGGUCAUUGGAAACUGGGGAACUUGAGUGCAGAAGAGGAGAGUGGAAUUCCACGUGUAGCGGUGAAAUGCGUAGAGAUGUGGAGGAACACCAGUGGCGAAGGCGACUCUCUGGUCUGUAACUGACGCUGAGGCGCGAAAGCGUGGGGAGCGAACAGGAUUAGAUACCCUGGUAGUCCACGCCGUAAACGAUGAGUGCUAAGUGUUAGAGGGUUUCCGCCCUUUAGUGCUGCAGCAAACGCAUUAAGCACUCCGCCUGGGGAGUACGGUCGCAAGACUGAAACUCAAGGAAUUGACGGGGGCCCGCACAAGCGGUGGAGCAUGUGGUUUAAUUCGAAGCAACGCGAGAACCUUACCAGGUCUUGACAUCCUCUGACAACCCUAG